AUGAACGCUGGCGGCGUGCCUCAUACCUGCAAGUCGCGCGCACAGACGAGGAGCUUGCUCCUCUGACGUUAGCGGCGGACGGGUGAGUAACACGUGGAUAACCUACCUAUAAGACUGGGAUAACUUCGGGAAACCGGAGCUAAUACCGGAUAAUAUAUUGAACCGCAUGGUUCAAUAGUGAAAGACGGUUUUGCUGUCACUUAUAGAUGGAUCCGCGCCGCAUUAGCUAGUUGGUAAGGUAACGGCUUACCAAGGCAACGAUGCGUAGCCGACCUGAGAGGGUGAUCGGCCACACUGGAACUGAGACACGGUCCAGACUCCUACGGGAGGCAGCAGUAGGGAAUCUUCCGCAAUGGGCGAAAGCCUGACGGAGCAACGCCGCGUGAGUGAUGAAGGUCUGCGGAUCGUAAAACUCUGUUAUUAGGGAAGAACAAAUGUGUAAGUAACUAUGCACGUCUUGACGGUACCUAAGCAGGAAGCCACGGCUAACUACGU
Molecule: ribosomal RNA, 495 nt
Filed under: uncultured bacterium
Lineage: Bacteria
Description: partial 16S ribosomal RNA
Rfam family: Bacterial small subunit ribosomal RNA
Source: RNAcentral